CUUGGCGUGGCUUCUCUUUUAUUAAUAGAUCAUGUUAUUCUUGUUUAUCAUAAUCCCCACUAUUCUUUACUAGUUUGUUACCACUAGUUUAGUUUAACUUGAGUAUCAUCACUUGUGUGUUAUAUUGUGAUCAGUCAAUUGCCAGUACUAGGUAAGUGUCGGGUGGACAUUAUUGGUGUCUACCCCACAUCCAUUCCCCUUCCCUCACCUUAAGAGAACCAGGAUUUUUUUUUCAGGUAUCCAUAUAGCCCCUUUGAUUCCACAAAUCUUAGGGAAAACUCCAAUCUCCAAGGAUUGCUUUAAAUAUUAAGUUCCAUUACCCAAGCCAGAGUCCUAGUCAGCAAUGGACAGUUUAAUCAGGGUGAAUUUCUUUGAAUACUAGAACUGAAGACGUUUUUUAUCUUCCAGAUUUUUUGUGUGAGACUGAAACUGUUGGAGCCUUCCUGCUACCAUCCUUGAGAAUGGAGUGACCACACAGGGCUGAGAUACUCUCCUCCUACUCUUGGACAUCAGAACUCUAGGCUCUCCAGACUUGGAACUCCAGGACUCACAACAGUGACCUCCCAGGUGUUCAGGUCUUCAGCCUUGGACUGAGAAUUACAGUAUCGGUUUUCCUGAUUCUGAAGCUUUCAGACUUGGAAUGAGCCACACUAUCAGCAUCCUAGGGUCUUAAGCUUGCCGAUAGCCUGUUGUGAGACUUCCCUGUCUCCAUAAUUAUGUAACUCCAUUCCCCUAAUAAAUCUCUUAUCUAACUGUCUAUCUUUCUAUCUAGCUAUCUACCUACCUACCUACCUGUCCAUCCAUCCAUCCAUCCAUCCAUCCAUCCAACCAUCCUAUUGGUUCUCUUCCUCUGAAAAUCCUCAUACAGCUGCCAACUCAAAUUAGGCAACUGAAAUUGUUGCUAAGAGGCAUCUACAUUGCAGUCCUCAAUCAAUAGAGUGGCAGCGUAGCUACAACAGGGCACUUAGCAUAUCUGUGAGAGGUGAUGUCCUUGUCUCAUCAUGUUCUUUUGUUAAAAAUUCAAGUGUGUGGAGUGAGGGGUUGACUGUUCCUAGAUUCAGAAUGUUAGUUUGGGCUAAUCAAAGUUUUACUGUAAUAAAAACAGAUUAGAGCUUCUUUUUUUAGACUUA
This is a long non-coding RNA of Cebus imitator (Panamanian white-faced capuchin), 1130 nucleotides long. RefSeq lists it as uncharacterized. The transcript has 2 exons. NCBI's taxonomy places the organism in Eukaryota, Metazoa, Chordata, Mammalia, Primates, Cebidae. The record is from RefSeq and is a predicted model, not a curated record.